This 324-nucleotide ribosomal RNA is filed under the name Streptococcus agalactiae. Its description in RNAcentral is "bacterial SSU rRNA". It matches the Rfam family "Bacterial small subunit ribosomal RNA", at positions 1 to 315 of the family's 1533-position model. The record is from RNAcentral. Lineage: Bacteria; Bacillati; Bacillota; Bacilli; Lactobacillales; Streptococcaceae.
UUUAAUGAGAGUUUGAUCCUGGCUCAGGACGAACGCUGGCGGCGUGCCUAAUACAUGCAAGUAGAACGCUGAUGUUUGGUGUUUACACUAGACUGAUGAGUUGCGAACGGGUGAGUAACGCGUAGGUAACCUGCCUCAUAGCGGGGGAUAACUAUUGGAAACGAUAGCUAAUACCGCAUAAGAGUAAUUAACACAUGUUAGUUAUUUAAAAGGAGCAAUUGCUUCACUGUGAGAUGGACCUGCGUUGUAUUAGCUAGUUGGUGAGGUAAAGGCUCACCAAGGCGACGAUACAUAGCCGACCUGAGAGGGUGAUGGGCCACACUG